CUUCCGGUGUCACCAUGUUUGUUUCAGUGUGACUUGACGCUGAGAGGAAAGGAAGGUGUCCACGAUGACAACUUUUAAAUACACAACAGUAACAGUAGCGACGGGGAUGUGAAAAUUCCCAGCUAACAAACCUUUAGCGGAAAUGUGUUUCUCUCGUUACCGCGAGUGUCGUCUACGUUUGGAAAGAGCGUAGCGUGCUAACGUUAGCUUAGCCAGCUAGCUAGCAUGAACUCGGGCUGUCGCCGCUUUUGUUUACAUCCAGUCCUGAUGAUGGGCCUGCAGAGGUGUGUUAGCUAACCCAGCUACCCGACCUGUGUGAGGGGAAGAGUCAUCCUAAAAACACCCGCACUGUGAGGACCGGGGUCGUCCAUCCAAACUGCUGCCACCUCAGGGUGAUGGAAGUGUCCUCUCAGGAUACAUCUCUCAUGGCUAUGGACCUGUCAAAGGGCUACUCAGUCAACCCCCUCACCCGUAGCCACACUGAAGCCAUGGACCUGGCAAAGAAGCCCGAGUGGUACCACAGACGCCCGCAGAGCUGCAGCACGGAGAUCAGCUCCUCGUACAGAUCCAGAGCCGCGUCCUCCUACAACUCACUGUCCACGCAGCUGCAUCCUGAACCGGUUGCACCUGUCCACUGUAGAGACAUGGAGCAGGGUCCGGAGUCUCUCAGCAGCUACAUGAAUUCGACGCUAGCUCCGGGGCUGGAUCUGUACCGCGAAAGAGCCCACGGUAGCCUGUGGCAUCCAGGUUUCUACGGCGGGCCCGACCAGACCGGCGGUCCGGUUCCUGAAAGCAGCGGUGGAGAGGAGAGCGACAGCGGCUCUGAUGUUAUUUUUCUCGUCUCCUCAGCUAAGGAGCCACUCUUAUGCAGUCCUUUCAUCCAAGACGGCGUGAGGCACAUUGUGGAGCCCCUGUCCCCAGCUGUGUCCUCACUGGACGAAGGGAGAGGUUGCUAUCACCUACCUCAGCCUCUGAGCUCACCCAGUCCUGACAGCUCGUACUCAGAAGACUCCUCAGACAGCUCGGUGGAGAUACCUGUACAUCAUACCCGGCCCGUAGUCCUCCUGUCAGACCUCAGUGCUGUUUACAGCAACCCCACUGAAUCUCUGGUAGAUGUUUCAAGCGACGACAGCGACGUUAUCGAAGUUUCAGUGACUAACAAAAAGAAGAAAAGCAACACCUUUCCCUGUAAGAAAAGUUUUUCUCGUAAGAAGAGUCUGGCGAGAGAAACUCCCCCUCAGAGUGAGGAGGAAAAAAAUCCACCCAGAAAAGUACGACGUAGUACCCGAAUCAGGAAACCUGUCUCUGAAACGCCUCAGUUUACCUGCAGCGUGUCUCGGCACAGUUUGAGGAGACAAGCCAAAAACGAUGCGGUGGGUAUUUAUAACGAAAGUUGUGAUUCUGACGAUGUGAUGGAGUACGCGGGGAGGUUGUCCAGCUCAGAUCUAGACGAGUCGGCCUCACACCCAAAUGUGUCGCAAAGAGUGAGCAGUAACUCAGAGGAGUCUGGUGUGGACGUCCAGGCAGACAGGAAGUCGCCGCAGAGAGAGUCGCACGAGCAGCCGUCUCGCCGCAAAGUGUCACGCGCGAAAAGCAUCAGUCAUAAACGAAAGAAGCCCCUCACUGUUCGUAAAACUAAAAAGUUAAGAAGAACUGAACAGAAACAAAACAGCAGAGUCUCACAAGGGCAGCGUCAAAAAUCAUCAAACACAAAAACCGUCCCAAGACGGAAGAAAAAAAGGCGAACGCAGAAAAGACCUUCUGCCCAGUUUCCUCCCAGAGAGCCAGAAAUCAAGCUUAAAUAUGCAAACAUAAAAGAGGAAAAAAAGGACAAGAAAUCAGGCAGUUUUUGCCCAUUUGUUCACAUUGAGAAGAGGAUGUGCACCGUUGUCAACUAUCAGGAGGAGGAGGCGACAGUGAGGAGCAGCAGAGGACCCCAGCAGACGGCGCCCAGGUCUCUGUCAGGGUUUGUCCCUCAUACGUCCUGUUUCCAGCUCGGCCGCUUUGGCUCGGACAGCAAGUGUCAGGACUCGCUGCUGUGCUGCCUGUGCGGUCAGACGGCCAACGCCAUGGGCCUCGGGGACCUUCACGGCCCGUACUAUCCGAUUAGCUCGUCCGUGGACUGCCAGAACCACAACCAGCAGAACUGCAGGACUGAGCAGAAAGAGGAAGAACAGCUGCUCGUCAAACGACAUGCAGUGAAUUCCUCAGAGGAUGGUUGCGGUGAUUUCGACGACUCUGCCGUCAAAGGUUUGCUCGAGAACGACAACCACUCUCUCCCAAAGGUGCCUCUUCAUCUGGACGAGUGCUGGAUCCACGAGGACUGCGGCAUCUGGUCCGCUGGCAUCUUCCUGGUCAGAGGGAAGCUGUACGGGUUGGAGGAGGCGGCCCGGCUCGCACAAGAAACGAAAUGUUCAGUGUGCCAACAAACGGGUGCAAUAAUGGGAUGUUUCCAGAAGGGCUGUCCCAGAAACUAUCACUACAGAUGUGCCGUUCAGUCAGGCUGUGUCUUAACUGAAGACAACUUCUCCAUCAGAUGUCCAGAGCACAAGGUAAAGGUGUGAGGAGCUGCUCGGCCUCUGGGGGUCAGUAGCGUAGCCUUUAGGAUGCUGUCUCCAAAUACUACUACAUCCUGCAUACAAACAACUGUAUGGGGGGUAUAUGAAAUAACAAACCGUUCACGAGUGUCACCAGACAACAACACAAGAGAUGACGCGGAAGACAUUUGGGGGCACUGGAGAAUGAUCCACAGAUCUCCUCAGGGUGCGACGUGAUCUGCCUGAUUUCACCUCUGCAGUUUUAUAACACUAAUUAACUUGAGCGUGUUUGCUCGAGCAGAAGGCAGACCUUCUGGUGAGAUUUCACUCGACCUCACAGACAGAUCAACCAGGGGCCACUUAAGGAUUUUUAUAAGACACAUCUUUGUUUUGUUGUAUUUCUAUGGGGUGUGUGUGUGUGUGUGUGUGUGUGUGUCUGAUUGUGAGUGUGUAUGGCUAUUUAUUCCUCUUCUUGAAGACUCACAAAUACAGUUUAUUAAUUGAACAUAAUAGGUAUAUUAGAGUUUAAAUGAGCUUUAUUGAUUUGUUGUAUAGUAUAUGAUAUCUUUAUAUAAGAACACUUCUUUUCUUUCUUCAGGUUUUGUACUACUUUUCUAUUUCUAUUACUGUUCAUCUUCACAUAACCAACAUAAUUUAUUUACAUUGAUUUGCAUGCACAGUUGAUGUUUGCUACAAUGCACUUUAUAGUAUAAUUUUAAUUAUUUAUGUCUAUUUGUAGACUUUGUUCUUCCAUUUUUACUAAAAUUAUUUAAAUGUAAUAUAAAGCUGCACUAAGAUUAUAUAGAAAUAUGAAAUUCACAAAGUAGGGCUGCUACAGAGAACAUCCCGACCCCCUUAAAGUGAGACCGCAAACUGUACAAUCGCCGCAUUCAAGCAGAUUUAUUUCUGGUGUCGGGUUUAGAUGCUUCUCUGCUCACAGGAUGCAGAAACUUAAGAUUGACAAACAGAACAAAAUGUCUCCUAAACAGAAGCGAGAGUUCAUUUCAGUUUAGAAAAAGAUGCAUCAACGUCUAGUGGCCAAGCAGAAAUCAGAAAAUGUAAAGUUUUAAAGGGUCAGUUCAAUAAAAUCGCAAAAAAACAAAAUCACUUAACCCAACUCAACUAAUCCCAGUUUCUCAAAUGAGAGGAUUUGCUGCUGUUCUCUGUAUCAUCUCAUUGUAAAUUGAAUAUUUUGUGGACUGUUGUUCAGUAUAAACAUUGUUGGAACUGCAGUACCUUAUUUUGAGCGCUUCUGGGGGGAUGUAAACAGGAAAUCUAAUGUUGGCAUGAAUUCAGUAUGUUAGCUCUGGGCUACGGCUUGAGACUAACACAGACUAAAAAGCCUGUAUUUGUUUACAUUUUUGGCAAAUUAGCACAAUUAAAAGUACGCUGAAUGAGCUAUUAGCAAUCGCUGUUUGCAGCGUACAGACAUAUAUGACUGGAUUACUUUGAUACGUGCUACCACUGAAGUAAGUUGGAAAAUGUUUUUGUGAUUUGGGUGAAUUGACCCUUUAAGAUAUGGUAGCCAUGUAGAGCUGAAGUCGCCUAGUGCAGCUUGAAGUGUCCAUCUUUGUAUGAGCUUUUGUAUUUCAGUUCAGGAGUUGUUUUUAAAAAUUGAGGGUUUUUAAGUAAAUUGUCAGAGUUUGCUUUUAUGUCACUUUUUAUUAUUUGAGGAAUAAAAAUAUUAUUAAUGUUGUUUUAAUAAAAGUCGAUAAAACUGAA
Molecule: RNA transcript, 4259 nt
Organism: Micropterus salmoides (largemouth bass)
Lineage: Eukaryota; Metazoa; Chordata; Actinopteri; Centrarchiformes; Centrarchidae
Exons: 6
Source: RefSeq, a predicted model, not a curated record